CGUAGGGUGCGAGCGUUAAUCGGAAUUACUGGGCGUAAAGCGUGCGCAGGCGGUUAUAUAAGACAGAUGUGAAAUCCCCGGGCUCAACCUGGGAACUGCAUUUGUGACUGUAUAGCUAGAGUACGGCAGAGGGGGAUGGAAUUCCGCGCGUAGCAGUGAAAUGCGUAGAUAUGCGGAGGAACACCGAUGGCGAAGGCAAUCCCCUGGGCCUGUACUGACGCUCAUGCACGAAAGCGUGGGGAGCAAACAGGAUUAGAUACCCUGGUAGUCCACGCCCUAAACGAUGUCAACUGGUUGUUGGGUCUUCACUGACUCAGUAACGAAGCUAACGCGUGAAGUUGACCGCCUGGGGAAUACGGCCGCAAGGUUG
Molecule: ribosomal RNA, 370 nt
Filed under: uncultured organism
Description: bacterial SSU rRNA
Rfam family: Bacterial small subunit ribosomal RNA
Source: RNAcentral